Molecule: ribosomal RNA, 884 nt
Filed under: Bacillus licheniformis
Lineage: Bacteria; Bacillati; Bacillota; Bacilli; Caryophanales; Bacillaceae
Description: bacterial SSU rRNA
Rfam family: Bacterial small subunit ribosomal RNA
Source: RNAcentral
ACCUUGACGGUACCUAACCAGAAAGCCACGGCUAACUACGUGCCAGCAGCCGCGGUAAUACGUAGGUGGCAAGCGUUGUCCGGAAUUAUUGGGCGUAAAGCGCGCGCAGGCGGUUUCUUAAGUCUGAUGUGAAAGCCCCCGGCUCAACCGGGGAGGGUCAUUGGAAACUGGGGAACUUGAGUGCAGAAGAGGAGAGUGGAAUUCCACGUGUAGCGGUGAAAUGCGUAGAGAUGUGGAGGAACACCAGUGGCGAAGGCGACUCUCUGGUCUGUAACUGACGCUGAGGCGCGAAAGCGUGGGGAGCGAACAGGAUUAGAUACCCUGGUAGUCCACGCCGUAAACGAUGAGUGCUAAGUGUUAGAGGGUUUCCGCCCUUUAGUGCUGCAGCAAACGCAUUAAGCACUCCGCCUGGGGAGUACGGUCGCAAGACUGAAACUCAAAGGAAUUGACGGGGGCCCGCACAAGCGGUGGAGCAUGUGGUUUAAUUCGAAGCAACGCGAAGAACCUUACCAGGUCUUGACAUCCUCUGACAACCCUAGAGAUAGGGCUUCCCCUUCGGGGGCAGAGUGACAGGUGGUGCAUGGUUGUCGUCAGCUCGUGUCGUGAGAUGUUGGGUUAAGUCCCGCAACGAGCGCAACCCUUGAUCUUAGUUGCCAGCAUUCAGUUGGGCACUCUAAGGUGACUGCCGGUGACAAACCGGAGGAAGGUGGGGAUGACGUCAAAUCAUCAUGCCCCUUAUGACCUGGGCUACACACGUGCUACAAUGGGCAGAACAAAGGGCAGCGAAGCCGCGAGGCUAAGCCAAUCCCACAAAUCUGUUCUCAGUUCGGAUCGCAGUCUGCAACUCGACUGCGUGAAGCUGGAAUCGCUAGUAAUCGCGGAUC